Molecule: ribosomal RNA, 497 nt
Filed under: uncultured bacterium
Lineage: Bacteria
Description: partial 16S ribosomal RNA
Rfam family: Bacterial small subunit ribosomal RNA
Source: RNAcentral
GAUGAACGCUGGCGGCGUGCCUAAUACAUGCAAGUCGAGCGAACAGACGAGGAGCUUGCUCCUCUGACGUUAGCGGCGGACGGGUGAGUAACACGUGGAUAACCUACCUAUCAGUCUGGGAUAACUUCGGGACACCGGAGCUAAUACCGGAUAAUAUAUUGAACCGCAUGGUUCAAUAGUGAAAGACGGUUUUGCUGUCUCUUAUAGAUGGAUCUGGGCCGCAUUAGCUAGUUGGUAAGGUAACGGCUUACCACGGCUACGAUGCGUAGCCGACGUGAGAGGGGGAUCGCCCACACUGGAACUGAGACACGGUCCAGACUCCUACGGGAGGCAGCAGUAGGGAAUCUUCCGCAAUGGGCGAAAGCCUGACGGAGCAACGCCGCGUGAGUGAUGAAGGUCUUCGGAUCGUAAAACUCUGUUAUUAGGGAAGAACAAAUGUGGAAGUAACUAUGCACGUCUUGACGGUACCUAAUCAGAAAGCCACGGCUAACUACGUG